RNAcentral lists this ribosomal RNA (1237 nucleotides) under Salmonella enterica subsp. enterica serovar Typhimurium. RNAcentral describes it as "partial 23S ribosomal RNA". It matches the Rfam family "Bacterial large subunit ribosomal RNA", at positions 1 to 1269 of the family's 2925-position model. The record is from RNAcentral. Lineage: Bacteria; Pseudomonadati; Pseudomonadota; Gammaproteobacteria; Enterobacterales; Enterobacteriaceae.
GGGUUGUGAGGUUAAGCGACUAAGCGUACACGGUGGAUGCCCUGGCAGUCAGAGGCGAUGAAGGGCGUGCUAAUCUGCGAUAAGCGCCGGUAAGGUGAUAUGAACCGUUAUAACCGGCGAUACCCGAAUGGGGAAACCCAGUGUGAUUCGUCACACUAUCAUUACGUGAAUACAUAGCGUAAUGAAGCGAACCGGGGGAACUGAAACAUCUAAGUACCCCGAGGAAAAGAAAUCAACCGAGAUUCCCCCAGUAGCGGCGAGCGAACGGGGAGGAGCCCAGAGCCUGAAUCAGCAUGUGUGUUAGUGGAAGCGUCUGGAAAGGCGCGCGAUACAGGGUGACAGCCCCGUACACAAAAGCGCAUGUGUUGUGAGCUCGAUGAGUAGGGCGGGACACGUGGUAUCCUGUCUGAAUAUGGGGGGACCAUCCUCCAAGGCUAAAUACUCCUGACUGACCGAUAGUGAACCAGUACCGUGAGGGAAAGGCGAAAAGAACCCCGGCGAGGGGAGUGAAAAAGAACCUGAAACCGUGUACGUACAAGCAGUGGGAGCACCCUUUGGGGUGUGACUGCGUACCUUUUGUAUAAUGGGUCAGCGACUUAUAUUCUGUAGCAAGGUUAACCGAAUAGGGGAGCCGGAGGGAAACCGAGUCUUAAUUGGGCGUUAAGUUGCAGGGUAUAGACCCGAAACCCGGUGAUCUAGCCAUGGGCAGGUUGAAGGUUGGGUAACACUAACUGGAGGACCGAACCGACUAAUGUUGAAAAAUUAGCGGAUGACCUGUGGCUGGGGGUGAAAGGCCAAUCAAACCGGGAGAUAGCUGGUUCUCCCCGAAAGCUAUUUAGGUAGCGCCUCGUGAACUCAUCUCCGGGGGUAGAGCACUGUUUCGGCUAGGGGGCCAUCCCGGCUUACCAACCCGAUGCAAACUGCGAAUACCGGAGAAUGUUAUCACGGGAGACACACGGCGGGUGCUAACGUCCGUCGUGAAGAGGGAAACAACCCAGACCGCCAGCUAAGGUCCCAAAGUCAUAGUUAAGUGGGAAACGAUGUGGGAAGGCCCAGACAGCCAGGAUGUUGGCUUAGAAGCAGCCAUCAUUUAAAGAAAGCGUAAUAGCUCACUGGUCGAGUCGGCCUGCGCGGAAGAUGUAACGGGGCUAAACUAUGCACCGAAGCUGCGGCAGCGACACUAUGUGUUGUUGGGUAGGGGAGCGUUCUGUAAGCCUGUGAAGGUGGCCUGUGAGGG